This is a long non-coding RNA of Apus apus (common swift), 1605 nucleotides long. RefSeq lists it as uncharacterized. NCBI's taxonomy places the organism in Eukaryota, Metazoa, Chordata, Aves, Apodiformes, Apodidae. The record is from RefSeq and is a predicted model, not a curated record. The transcript is spliced from 4 exons.
GUCAGUCAGAUCAGCAAACAGUACAGCUUGUCGGGUUGAAGGAGCCAGAGCCCUUUGUGCCAGGUGCUGUAAAAAAGAAGAGAAGACAAUUUCUGCUGGAGAAAGCUAAGGGUCUACAGCCAAGGAAAUCCGAUGGAUGCUGACUGACAGUCCAGGGAGAGAAAUUGGCUGACUUGUAAAAGAUUACAAAUGUCCAUGGACUGAAACUCCCCCUGGAAAUGUCCAUCUCACUCCAGUGCCUGUAGGAGAAAUCUAGAGCAAAUGACACUCAAAGGUACACUAGCAUCUAUAUAACAGGAACAGGCAAAGCCAGCAGUGGAUAUGUUGAAAUGGUCUUCUGCAGCCAAACAAAAGAUAUUUCUACUGACACCUGAUCAGAUGCAAGAGAGCUCUGCUUGUCCUCUCUGUUGAUGAGGAAGGGCAAGGCUGUGACAAUGCAGCACAUACCUGGACUCAUUCAGCCUUCCAAGUCAUCUGGCUCUGUGAUUGGCCCUACCUGGGUGGGAAGUGGCUUUGUUGCAAAGUUUGCUUGUCUUUCAGGGCAAAGUCGGUAGACCCAUUGCCCAUUAUUCCGGCAAUCAUUCUGGAAACUGUAAUUUGUUUCUUCCCCUCUGCUUGGUUCAGUAGUGAGCUCUCAAAUGUCAGCUUAGGACUUCUGUGAUCAUGUACUUGGAAAGAUAUAGCCUAUAGUAUGAUACAUCUUUGUAUAUGGGGUUCAAGGUCUGAUUUAACCCCUCAUUAGAGCACUUCUGUACUGAUUAAUGAUUCACAUUAAUGUAAAAAAACCCCCACAAUUAGAAGACCAGAUUUUACCACAAAGAACAUAAGUAAUACUUUUGAUUGAAUGGCUAGCAACAAAUAAUACUGAUCAGAAGAAACAAGAAUUUAUUUUCUUUAAUUCCUUCAUAAAAGGUUUUGUUACCCAAGAAUACAACUCCUGCUUUUAAUGUGGAGACUUCUCAUUGCAGUAUUCAUCAAUCAUCCCAAACUGUUCUGUAGAAAAAUUAAUCUAAUUUUUAGGAACAGCAGAAAAAGAACAGUAUAUUAAAGGCAAAAACAAUAUGCAAGAACCUCACCUUUAGCUGAACACACCUAAAAGUUGGGACUGAGAGGUCCACUUCCAUGACUUUUGUCUGGAAGCUAAUCCAAGAAAUACAGGAGCUGGUGGAUGAACGGACAUAAACAGAGUAGUCAGGGUGUUGUUAAUCCCUCACACGAGUGCAAAAACCACAAUAGCUUCAUUGCAACACUGGUUGCACCAAAUCACAGAAUCAGCAUGGUUGGGAAGGACCUCUGAGAUCAUUGAGUCCAAUCAUCAACACAAAAUAAAAGAAACCUAAACCUUAGCCACUAGAGCAUGGCCUGAGGUCCCACAUCUACACGUUUCUUGAACACCUCCAAGCACGGCGACUUCACCACCUCCCUGGGCAGCCUGUUCCAGUGCCUGACCACUCUUUUGGUAAAGAAAUCCUUCCUAAUACCCAAUCUAAACAUCCCCUGCUGCAAUUUCAGGCCAAUUCCUCUGGUCCUGUCAUUAUUCACUAGGGAGAAGAGGCCAACUCCCAUCUCCCUAUAACCUCCUUUCAGGUUGUUGUAGAGGGCAAU